Priapulus caudatus is the source of this 175-nucleotide long non-coding RNA. RefSeq lists it as uncharacterized. The transcript has 3 exons. NCBI's taxonomy places the organism in Eukaryota, Metazoa, Priapulida, Priapulimorpha, Priapulimorphida, Priapulidae. The record is from RefSeq and is a predicted model, not a curated record.
UCAGACGGAUUGUUAGAUUACUGGAUGGUGAACAAACUGAAGGCGGAGCAGGAUUUCCUUAAUGUGAGCAGUAAUCUAUUGCUGUUCAAGGACAUGUGGCAGAAUUUAGCAGAGUUUAGUGGCGGACAUGGCGUGUCAAGACUCAUGACUUCCGUAGGAAGGUACGCUGGAUACG